GACGAACGCUGGCGGCGUGCUUAACACAUGCAAGUCGAACGAUGAAACCUAGCUUGCUAGGUCGAUUAGUGGCGAACGGGUGAGUAACACGUGACUAACCUGCCCCUUUCUCUGGGAUAACGCUCCGAAAGGAGUGCUAAUACCGGAUACUCACACCGAGGCACAUGCCUUGGUGUGGAAAGUUUUUCGGAAAGGGAUGGAGUCGCGGCCUAUCAGCUUGUUGGUGUGGUAACGGCUCACCAAGGCGACGACGGGUAGCCGGCCUGAGAGGGCGACCGGCCACACUGGGACUGAGACACGGCCCAGACUCCUACGGGAGGCAGCAGUGGGGAAUAUUGCACAAUGGGCGCAAGCCUGACGCAGCGACGCCGCGUGAGGGAUGAAGGUCUUCGGAUUGUAAACCUCUUUCAGUAGGGACGAAGCGAAAGUGACGGUACCUAAAGAAGAAGCACCGGCUAACUACGUGCCAGUCGCCGCCGUAA
This 482-nucleotide ribosomal RNA is filed under the name uncultured bacterium. RNAcentral's name for it is "partial 16S ribosomal RNA". It matches the Rfam family "Bacterial small subunit ribosomal RNA", at positions 28 to 523 of the family's 1533-position model. The record is from RNAcentral.